Molecule: unclassified non-coding RNA, 329 nt
Filed under: soil metagenome
Description: partial contains 5.8S ribosomal RNA, internal transcribed spacer 2, and large subunit ribosomal RNA
Rfam family: 5.8S ribosomal RNA (bases 1-120)
Source: RNAcentral
GAUGAAGAACGCAGCGAAAUGCGAUACGUAAUGUGAAUUGCAGAAUUCAGUGAAUCAUCGAAUCUUUGAACGCACAUUGCGCCCCUUGGUAUCCCGAGGGGCAUGCCUGUUCUAGCGUCAUUUCACCACUCAAGCCUGGCUUGGUGUUGGGCGACGUCCCCUUUGGGGACGCGCCUCGAAACGCUCGGCGGCGUGGCACCGGCUUUAAGCGUAGCAGAAUCUUUCGCUUUGGAAGUCGGGGCCCCGUCUGCCGGAAGACCUACUCGCAAGGUUGACCUCGGAUCAGGCAGGGAUACCCGCUGAGCUUAAGCAUAUCAAUAAGCGGAGGA